Molecule: RNA transcript, 1887 nt
Organism: Dendrobium catenatum
Lineage: Eukaryota; Viridiplantae; Streptophyta; Magnoliopsida; Asparagales; Orchidaceae
Gene name: F-box protein SKP2A
Exons: 8
Source: RefSeq, a predicted model, not a curated record
GUGUCUAUUCUACCGCCAACGCUUCUCUUUUACUCUUCUUCGUACUCUGUUCUCCUUCGAGUCUUCUCGAGCAUCACGCAGCUCCGAUCCAUAUCUCCCAGUUGAAGACGUUGUUGCUCUAUAUAUAUAAACACUUUCAACAGUUGGGAGAGAGCGAGAGAGGAAGGUAGGCUAAACCCUCGCAUACACGCUGCCCCUUUCUCCUCCUCUGGGGAGAUUCUCUUGCUAUCCUUUUCUUUCGAAAGGGGCUGUUACGUGGGAGAAUGGUUGGAGGGAGGCCUCUGACUGGGAAUUUGGAUGUUUGGUUUAGGAGCCUUAUGGUUGUCGACGGCCGAGGCAAAAUGGAAACUGGGGCUGCCAUAACAGGGUGGAAGGACCUUCCGAUGGAACUUUUGUUGAGGGUUCUAGUACUUGGUGAUGAUCGGAUGGUAAUCGUCGCAUCAGGUGUCUGCACUGGUUGGAGAGAUGCGAUUUGCUUGGGGCUUAGUCAUCUCUGCUUGUCAUGGUGCAAAGAACACAUGAAUGAUCUUGUCCUGUCGCUUGCUCCUAAGUUCACAAAACUUCAAGUGCUAAGUUUGCGGCAAAAUAAACCUCAACUUGAGGAUAAUGCUGUUCAGACCAUUGCAAAUUAUUGUCAUGAUUUGUGUGAUUUGGAUCUCAGCAAAGGCCAUAAACUAAGUGAUAUCUCAUUGUAUGCUUUAGCACAUGGAUGUCCGAGGCUUUUAAGACUCAACUUCAGUGGUUGCACAGCAUUCAGUGAUUCUGCCCUGGCAUAUCUAACAAGCUUCUGCACAAAACUGAAAUACCUGAAUCUCUGUGGAUGUGUGAAAGCUGCAUCUGAUCGGGCUUUGCAGGCAAUUGCAUACAACUGUAGGCAGUUGCAGUCGCUAAUCCUUGGCUGGUGUGAAGGUGUUACUGAUAAAGGAGUGAUCUGUUUGGCAUUAGGUUGCCCGGAUCUCAGAGCCAUUGAUUUGUGCGGCUGUGUCCUUAUAACUGAUGAAAGUGUGAUUGCUUUGGCAAAUGGAUGCUGUGGACUGAGAUCCUUAGGCUUAUACUACUGCCAGAACAUAACUGACAAAGCAAUGUACUCACUGGCCAACAGCCGUGUGAAGAGCAAGCACUGUUCAUGGGCCUCUAUUCAUGGAAGCAGUAAUGAUGAAGAUGGACUGAUGAAACUCAACAUCAGCCAGUGCACUGCCCUCACCCCUCCUGCUGUUCAGGCAGUGUGUGACUCCUUCCCGGCACUCCACACCUGUCCUGACAGGCAUUCUCUCAUUAUUAGCGGCUGCCUCAGCCUGACUGCAGUGCACUGCGCUUGUGCCGUUCAGAACCAUCGCCCAAACAAAGCAGGACUCUCUCACUAACCUUUCGGAAAGUUUACAAUGGUAAAGAUGGCAUAGCUGCACUUGAAAGGAUAUUGAAGAAGAAAAAUGGUUGUACAUAUCAGGACUUUUUGAGUCUAUCCUCGAGGUGUGGUCGGUUAAAUAUCGUUUGGGCUUUGGGCUUUGUGUCACUCGCCUAGAGGAGCUGGUGGUGGUGUGCAGCUUUCAAGUGAUCCUUAAUGACGGUUAUGAUGGUGGUGGUGGUGGCGAAGGUGACAGCUGGAGGUUGAGGCAAUCAAGAGAAAGUUGUUGCGACUCAGGGGUGCAUAAAGGUUUUACAUAUGUGUUUGGUUGACCACCACUUCAGGAGCAGGUUUACCAGCAGUAGAUUGUGUUUGGUAUUUAUUAUUUUGUAGUAGUUUAUUAUGUUUAUAAUUUUGAGGGCUGGGUAAUUUCUUUCAUGUUUUUUAUUUUAUUUAUAUUCAUGUUGGUUUGUAUUAGAAUUACCGUUAUUUGUAUGUAUUAGUUAUUUGAACUUCUAUUAAUGAAUUGACACUUUAUUUCA